AUUACCACAGUCCCAGCUGGUGAAUGGCAUAGAAGUUGAAAAUACCAAAUUGAAUUCUUCUGCAACAAAGGAAUCACAGGCAAGCGAGGACAAGACAAGUAAAAUCAUGGGAAUUCCACAAGCACCACCAGCAAUAACAGCAAACC
RNAcentral lists this non-coding RNA (146 nucleotides) under Ditylum brightwellii. The record is from RNAcentral. Lineage: Eukaryota; Bacillariophyta; Thalassiosirophyceae; Lithodesmiales; Lithodesmiaceae.